CUGCAAAGUUACCAAAUUGCCAUGUAAGAGAAGUGUUUGGGAAAACACGCCAUAGCGGGUGAUAGCCCCGUAUCUGAAACAUGUGUGAUCUUUGAGCCAGUUCCUGAGUACCACGGAGUACGUGAAGUUCCGUGGGAAUCUGCGAAGACCAUUUCGUAAGGCUAAAUACUAGGUAGUGACCGAUAGUGAACAAGUACUGUGAAGGAAAGGUGAAAAGCACCGCGGGAGCGGAGUGAAAUAGAACCUGAAAUCGUACGCUUACAAGGUAUGGAAGCCCGUAAGGGUGACCGUGUGCCUUUUGUAGCAUGAGCCUGCGAGUUACUGUAUGCAGCAAGGUUAAGGGAUUGAAGUCCCGGAGCCGAAGCGAAAGCGAGUCUGAAUAGGGCGUUUUGAGUUGCAUGCUUUAGACCCGAAGUUGAGUGAUCUAGCCUUGGUCAGGAUGAAGUGGCGGUAACACGCCAUGGAGGUCCGAACUCGUGAAUGUUGAAAAAUUCUGAGAUGAACUGAGGCUGGGGGUGAAAGGCCAAUCAAACUCAGCGAUAGCUGGUUCUCCUCGAAAUGUAUUUAGGUACAGGGUCUGAUGUUUAGUUGUGGGGGUAGAGCGCUGUUUGGGCUAGGGGCCUUACCCGGUUACCAAACCCAGGCAAACUACGAAUACUAUAACGUUAGAGUCGAGCACUGAGUCAGUGGGUGAUAACGUUCAUUGGCAAGAGGGAGACAACCCGGAUCGACAGCUAAGGUUCCUAAAUCUACACUAAGUGAUAAAGGAUGUUCAAUCGCACAGACAAUUAGGAGGUUGGCUUAGAAGCAGCCACCCUUUAAAGAGUGCGUAAUAGCUCACUAAUCGAGCGAUUGGGCGCCGAAAAUGUACGGAUCUAAGUGUAGUACCGAAGCUUCGGGCGGGGCGAAUCGAGAGAUUCGCCUUGCGGUAGAGGAGCGUUCCUACAGCGGCGAAGGUAUAGCGAGAGCAGUGCUGGAGCGGUAGGAAGUGAGAAUGCAGGCAUGAGUAGCGAAAAUGACGGUUAAAUUCCGUCACAUCGUAAGCCCAAGGGUUCCGCAGCAAGGUAACUCCGCUGCGGGUUAGCCGGUUCCUAAGGUGAGGCCGACAGGCGUAACCGACGGUAACCUGGUUUAUAUUCCAGGGCUUAGUUCAAGGCGCGAUGGGGUGACGCAAGAAGAUAGGGAAGCAGCCUAAUGGAUGGCUGUAUAAGGUCGUAGGCGUUGAGGAGAUCAGGCAAAUCCGGUUUCUGAGCUGAAAGCUGAUAUGGAGUGGGCCUUCGGGUUUCACGAAGUUUCUGAUUCUAUGCUGCCAAGAAAAACCUCUAAGUUUACUUGAACUAAACCGUACCCGAAACCGACACAGGUGGGCGAGGAGAGAAUCCUCAGAUGCGCGAGAGAAACCUCGCUAAGGAACUCGGCAAAAUGACCCCGUAACUUCGGGAGAAGGGGUGCCCCAUUAUGGUGCAAGCCAGAAGGGGCCGCAGUGAAGAGUCCGCGGCGACUGUUUACCAAAAACACAGGUCUCUGCAAACACGUAAGUGGAUGUAUAGGGGCUGAUACCUGCCCGGUGCUGGAAGGUUAACAGGAGAUGUUAGCAGCAAUGCGACGCAUUGAAUCGAAGCCCCAGUAAACGGCGGCCGUAACUAUGACGGUCCUAAGGUAGCGAAAUUCCUUGUCGGGUAAAUUCCGACCUGCACGAAUGGUGUAACGACUGUGGAACUGUCUCAGCGAGGAUCUCGGCGAAAUUGUAGUGGCAGUGAAGAUGCUGCCUACCCGCAGUGGGACAGAAAGACCCCGUGAACCUUUACUGUAACUUGGCAUUGGUUUUCGGCUUUGUAUGUGUAGGAUAGGUGGGAGACUUUGAAGUUGCGGCGCUAGCCGUGAUGGAGUCGUCCUUGAAAUACCACCCUUACGAAAUUGAAAACCUAACCUGGCGUUACUUUUGUGUUCGAAUUUGUCCGGCCUUUGGCCGGCCAAAUUCGUAAAAAGACGACAAGAGCCUUGGAUAAGAUAAA
RNAcentral lists this ribosomal RNA (2015 nucleotides) under activated sludge metagenome. Its description in RNAcentral is "bacterial LSU rRNA". It matches the Rfam family "Bacterial large subunit ribosomal RNA", at positions 306 to 2253 of the family's 2925-position model. The record is from RNAcentral.